UACGUAGGGUGCAAGCGUUGUCCGGAAUUAUUGGGCGUAAAGAGCUCGUAGGCGGUCUGUCGCGUCGGCUGUGAAAACCCGGGGCUCAACCCCGGGCCUGCAGUCGAUACGGGCAGACUAGAGUGCGGUAGGGGAGACUGGAAUUCCUGGUGUAGCGGUGAAAUGCGCAGAUAUCAGGAGGAACACCGGUGGCGAAGGCGGGUCUCUGGGCCGAUAUUGACGCUGAGGAGCGAAAGCGUGGGGAGCGAACAGG
This 253-nucleotide ribosomal RNA is filed under the name uncultured bacterium. RNAcentral's name for it is "partial 16S ribosomal RNA". It matches the Rfam family "Bacterial small subunit ribosomal RNA", at positions 524 to 776 of the family's 1533-position model. The record is from RNAcentral.